This 75-nucleotide transfer RNA is filed under the name Lythrypnus dalli (bluebanded goby). Its description in RNAcentral is "tRNA-Val". Lineage: Eukaryota; Metazoa; Chordata; Actinopteri; Gobiiformes; Gobiidae. The record is from RNAcentral.
CAGCGUGUAGCUAAACACAGAUACAGCGUCUCCGUUACACUGAGAAGGUUGCCCGUGCAAACCGGGUCGCGCUGA